This 1964-nucleotide ribosomal RNA is filed under the name human gut metagenome. RNAcentral's name for it is "bacterial LSU rRNA". It matches the Rfam family "Bacterial large subunit ribosomal RNA", at positions 1 to 1990 of the family's 2925-position model. The record is from RNAcentral.
UUAAGCGACUAAGCGUACACGGUGGAUGCCCUGGCAGUCAGAGGCGAUGAAGGACGUGCUAAUCUGCGAUAAGCGUCGGUAAGGUGAUAUGAACCGUUAUAACCGGCGAUUUCCGAAUGGGGAAACCCAGUGUGAUUCGUCACACUAUCAUUAACUGAAUCCAUAGGUUAAUGAGGCGAACCGGGGGAACUGAAACAUCUAAGUACCCCGAGGAAAAGAAAUCAACCGAGAUUCCCCCAGUAGCGGCGAGCGAACGGGGAGCAGCCCAGAGCCUGAAUCAGUGUGUGUGUUAGUGGAAGCGUCUGGAAAGGCGCGCGAUACAGGGUGACAGCCCCGUACACAAAAAUGCACAUGCUGUGAGCUCGAUGAGUAGGGCGGGACACGUGGUAUCCUGUCUGAAUAUGGGGGGACCAUCCUCCAAGGCUAAAUACUCCUGACUGACCGAUAGUGAACCAGUACCGUGAGGGAAAGGCGAAAAGAACCCCGGCGAGGGGAGUGAAAAAGAACCUGAAACCGUGUACGUACAAGCAGUGGGAGCACGCUUAGGCGUGUGACUGCGUACCUUUUGUAUAAUGGGUCAGCGACUUAUAUUCUGUAGCAAGGUUAACCGAAUAGGGGAGCCGAAGGGAAACCGAGUCUUAACUGGGCGUUAAGUUGCAGGGUAUAGACCCGAAACCCGGUGAUCUAGCCAUGGGCAGGUUGAAGGUUGGGUAACACUAACUGGAGGACCGAACCGACUAAUGUUGAAAAAUUAGCGGAUGACUUGUGGCUGGGGGUGAAAGGCCAAUCAAACCGGGAGAUAGCUGGUUCUCCCCGAAAGCUAUUUAGGUAGCGCCUCGUGAAUUCAUCUUCGGGGGUAGAGCACUGUUUCGGCUAGGGGGUCAUCCCGACUUACCAACCCGAUGCAAACUGCGAAUACCGGAGAAUGUUAUCACGGGAGACACACGGCGGGUGCUAACGUCCGUCGUGAAGAGGGAAACAACCCAGACCGCCAGCUAAGGUCCCAAAGUCAUGGUUAAGUGGGAAACGAUGUGGGAAGGCCCAGACAGCCAGGAUGUUGGCUUAGAAGCAGCCAUCAUUUAAAGAAAGCGUAAUAGCUCACUGGUCGAGUCGGCCUGCGCGGAAGAUGUAACGGGGCUAAACCAUGCACCGAAGCUGCGGCAGCGACGCUUAUGCGUUGUUGGGUAGGGGAGCGUUCUGUAAGCCUGUGAAGGUGUGCUGUGAGGCAUGCUGGAGGUAUCAGAAGUGCGAAUGCUGACAUAAGUAACGAUAAAGCGGGUGAAAAGCCCGCUCGCCGGAAGACCAAGGGUUCCUGUCCAACGUUAAUCGGGGCAGGGUGAGUCGACCCCUAAGGCGAGGCCGAAAGGCGUAGUCGAUGGGAAACAGGUUAAUAUUCCUGUACUUGGUGUUACUGCGAAGGGGGGACGGAGAAGGCUAUGUUGGCCGGGCGACGGUUGUCCCGGUUUAAGCGUGUAGGCUGGUUUUCCAGGCAAAUCCGGAAAAUCAAGGCUGAGGCGUGAUGACGAGGCACUACGGUGCUGAAGCAACAAAUGCCCUGCUUCCAGGAAAAGCCUCUAAGCAUCAGGUAACAUCAAAUCGUACCCCAAACCGACACAGGUGGUCAGGUAGAGAAUACCAAGGCGCUUGAGAGAACUCGGGUGAAGGAACUAGGCAAAAUGGUGCCGUAACUUCGGGAGAAGGCACGCUGAUAUGUAGGUGAAGCGACUUGCUCGUGGAGCUGAAAUCAGUCGAAGAUACCAGCUGGCUGCAACUGUUUAUUAAAAACACAGCACUGUGCAAACACGAAAGUGGACGUAUACGGUGUGACGCCUGCCCGGUGCCGGAAGGUUAAUUGAUGGGGUUAUCCGUAAGGAGAAGCUCUUGAUCGAAGCCCCGGUAAACGGCGGCCGUAACUAUAACGGUCCUAAGGUAGCGAAAUUCCUUGUCGGGUAAGUUCCGACCUG